Ixodes scapularis (black-legged tick) is the source of this 73-nucleotide non-coding RNA. The record is from Rfam. NCBI's taxonomy places the organism in Eukaryota, Metazoa, Arthropoda, Arachnida, Ixodida, Ixodidae.
CCCUGGUUAGCUCAGUUGGUACAGCGCUCCACUUGUAAUGGAGAGGUCCCGGGUUCGAUACCCGGACCAGGCG